GACGAACGCUGGCGGCGUGCUUAACACAUGCAAGUCGAACGGAAAGGCCCUGCUUUUGUGGGGUGCUCGAGUGGCGAACGGGUGAGUAACACGUGAGUAACCUGCCCUUGACUUUGGGAUAACUUCAGGAAACUGGGGCUAAUACCGGAUAGGAGCUCCUGCUGCAUGGUGGGGGUUGGAAAGUUUCGGCGGUUGGGGAUAGACUCGCGGCUUAUCAGCUUGUUGGUGGGGUAGUGGCUUACCAAGGCUUUGACGGGUAGCCGGCAUGAGAGGGUGACCGGCCACAAUGGGACUGAGAGACGGACCAGACUCCUACGUGAGGCAGUAGUGGGGAAUAUUGCACAAUGGGCGGAAGCCUGAUGCAGCAACGCCGCGUGCGGGAUGACGUCCUACGGGUUGUAAACCGCUGUCUCCUGUGACGAAGCGUGAGUGACGGUAAUGGGUAAAGAAGCACCGGCUAACUACGUG
This 468-nucleotide ribosomal RNA is filed under the name uncultured bacterium. RNAcentral describes it as "partial 16S ribosomal RNA". It matches the Rfam family "Bacterial small subunit ribosomal RNA", at positions 28 to 507 of the family's 1533-position model. The record is from RNAcentral.